UGUGCAAGGAUGAUAAAACAGACAGGGACAUCAGAACCCUUUAACGGAUGAUGAGUUGUCUAUCAAUGGGAAUCUCUCUGAUGCACU
Small nucleolar RNA from Hibiscus syriacus, 87 nucleotides. RefSeq annotates it as small nucleolar RNA R44/J54/Z268 family. The record is from RefSeq and is a predicted model, not a curated record. Lineage: Eukaryota; Viridiplantae; Streptophyta; Magnoliopsida; Malvales; Malvaceae. The transcript has a single exon.